This 497-nucleotide ribosomal RNA is filed under the name uncultured bacterium. Its description in RNAcentral is "partial 16S ribosomal RNA". It matches the Rfam family "Bacterial small subunit ribosomal RNA", at positions 28 to 507 of the family's 1533-position model. The record is from RNAcentral.
GAUGAACGCUGGCGGCGUGCCUAAUACAUGCAAGUCGAGCGAACAGACGAGGAGCUUGCUCCUCUGACGUUAGCGGCGGACGGGUGAGUAACACGUGGAUAACCUACCUAUAAGACUGGGAUAACUUCGGGAAACCGGAGCUAAUACCGGAUAAUAUAUUGAACCGCAUGGUUCAAUAGUGAAAGACGGUUUUGCUGUCACUUAUAGAUGGAUCCGCGCCGCAUUAGCUAGUUGGUAAGGUAACGGCUUACCAAGGCAACGAUGCGUAGCCGACCUGAGAGGGUGAUCGGCCACACUGGAACUGAGACACGGUCCAGACUCCUACGGGAGGCAGCAGUAGGGAAUCUUCCGCAAUGGGCGAAAGCUUGACGGAGCAACGCCGCGUGAGUGAUGAAGGUCUUCGGAUCGUAAAACUCUGUUAUUAGGGAAGAACAAAUGUGUAAGUAACUAUGCACGUCUUGACGGUACCCUAUCAGAAAGCCACGGCUAACUACGUG